This 1000-nucleotide long non-coding RNA is filed under the name Olea europaea (common olive). Its description in RNAcentral is "long non-coding RNA (OEUR_LNC000708)". The record is from RNAcentral. Lineage: Eukaryota; Viridiplantae; Streptophyta; Magnoliopsida; Lamiales; Oleaceae.
UCGUGCUACGACCUUUGCUCAGGGCUGCCCUGACCCAAGGCGAACUAGGCAAAGGCCUAGGGCCUCAAAUUUUUGGGGGCCUCGGCCCAGCCCCCAAUCAAUUUAAAACCCACCCAAGACUUGAAAGAAAAAGAAAAUCUAUAGGUUCAGCUAGCAGAGAGAGGAAGAGACAAGAUGAUUUAUUGAGCUCUCUCCAAUUCCGUCCAUCACCGCCACCGGAGGAUCCCAAGAAGGAAGAGACGGUCGAAGUCUAAAACAUCAAAAAUGAGAAAUAUAAGCUUCUCUCUUUUCCAGUUUGGCGGUCCUGUUGCUCUUUUAGCAAGAUCUAAAUUGGAUUAUGACUCUUUGGAAGAAGAAAUUCCAUGGGGUAUUUCUCUAGAUUUAUCAGUGAAUUGCGGGGGUAUUUCUCCAAAUUUAUUGGUGAACCGACAAGGUGGUCAUGAUGCCUGCAGUGUGAAAGACACUAUUUGAAGAAUACAAUUUGUUUGCUGCAAUUAAUGGAAUAAAGUUUUCUUUCUUCUGAUUUUGUUAGGUAAGAUGUUAAAAUUUUUAUCUGGUCAUUGCUACCGAAUAGAAGGAAAAAGAGCAAGAUGGGUUCUAAAAAGAGACCACAAAUAUUGAAUUGUUAUGAAAUGAGCGGAAGGUAGUUUAUGUAGGUGGGUGGAGGUCUAAUUGAUUGCAUAAUUUAAGAAUGUUUUUUGUACUAGAUAGAUUUUAAUUAAUGAUUAUCAUUUCGAUUGUAAUUUAUAAAGAACUAAUCUAUGAAUUAAAUUGGAUAUGAAUUCCAGUUGGAUGCUAACUAUCAUUUGUACCCUUAUUUUCAAGUGUUGAAGAUGAUUUUAAUGAUUUCUCCCCUUUUUCUUCUCAUUUUUGAAGAGAUUUUUUUUCUUUUUAAUUUUAUGGAUUUAUGUUAUUUCAUUACUGGUCUAUAUUCUAGACUACUAGGAAACGUAAGAUCUUUCAAUUUCUGCUUUAAAAUAUUCUCCAUUCUCACUAGUUG